Cercocebus atys (sooty mangabey) is the source of this 781-nucleotide long non-coding RNA. RefSeq lists it as uncharacterized. The record is from RefSeq and is a predicted model, not a curated record. Lineage: Eukaryota; Metazoa; Chordata; Mammalia; Primates; Cercopithecidae. The transcript has 2 exons.
CCGGGCUCUGCUCUCCCUCCCCGGAUGCCCCUCCUUCUCCAUCCCCAGAAGUCUCAGCCACUGAGAUUCCCCUUGUCCGGGAGGCUGGCUGGAGGGGAAGACCCAGGUGACUGCGCUUUGGAGGCUGGACCAUCGUGGGGCCUGUCUGUGCCCACUUUUACCCCAUUCAAGAGUUACCAGGGCCAGGCGCAGUGGCUCAGGCCUGCAAUCCCAGCACUUUCGGAGGGCAAGACAAGAGGAUCGCUUGAGCCCAGGAGCUUGAGAACAGCCUGGGCAACAUGAGCCAGCCAGGCCCCUGGGCCUGGAACAUCCACAGGAGGAAAGUACAAGAACCCCAGCACCCUGCCAAGCAGCAGGGACUCUUCAGACGCCCGAGGGCUGGUUUGCCCAGAGCCAGCUGGGAAGGACUCAUGGUGACCAGAAGGGGAAACUGAGGCACUGCUGAGCACCAACAGUCCUGGAGAGCUUUAAGAAUGGUUGCCAUCUGAGGCCAGGCACAGUGGUUCAUGCCUAUAAUCCCAGCACUUUGGGAGGCCAAGGCAGGCGGAUCACUUGAGGUCAGGAGUUCGAGACUUGUCAGGCCUCUGAGCCCUAGCUAAGCCAUCAUAUCCCCUGUGACCUGCACAUAGACAUCCAGAUGGCCUGAAGCAACUGAAGAUCCACAAAAGAAGUGAAAAUAGCCAGUUCCUACCUUAACUGAUGACAUUCCACCAUUGUGAUUUGUUCUGGCCCAACCCUAACUGAUCAAUGUCUUUGUGACAAUACACCCUCCCCACCCUUG